AUUCAAAUAGCUUAAAAUAGAGCAUUACAUUGAAGCUGUAAGGGUAAUUAAUAUUUUUGAGUA
RNAcentral lists this transfer RNA (63 nucleotides) under Cryptopygus terranovus. RNAcentral's name for it is "tRNA-Phe". Lineage: Eukaryota; Metazoa; Arthropoda; Collembola; Entomobryomorpha; Isotomidae. The record is from RNAcentral.